This 2017-nucleotide small RNA is filed under the name Manduca sexta (tobacco hornworm). RNAcentral describes it as "uncharacterized LOC115441408". The record is from RNAcentral. Lineage: Eukaryota; Metazoa; Arthropoda; Insecta; Lepidoptera; Sphingidae.
AUGACGAAAAGAAAUCUAAGGCACAUUAAAGAAAAUCAAAAAGAAAUAUAUACUUCUAUAAACAGGUAUACAGAACAGAACACUGAAUUAGAGAUAAAAAUAUUAACUAUGAUCAUAUUUGAAGAAAUAGAAAGGUCGUUUCAAUAGCUUUACGAUAGAUUAGAAACAUUAGAAAAUGCAGUUACGGUUUCACACGUCGGUAAAUUGCACCCUAGUUAAUAGACCCUUCAUACCUUAUAGAAGAACUUAACUUUAUUCAAAACACAAUAGACGUUAAUGUAGCAUUUGACCCUAACAUCAGAAAUAUACACCUUUGGGAAACGGCAAUAACAGUCAAAGCAUACAGUACCAAUGGCACCUUAAAUUUCAUACUAGAGAUACCCCUAGUUGCAAAACAACUUUAUAACCUAUUAUAUCUUUACUCAAUCCCUACUAACCACAAUAUCUUCCUAAUACCCAAAAAUCCUAUUAUGAUCUUGGGAAAUAACGAGUUUGCGUACCGCCCCGAGCCCUGCAACACAAUAACAAAAGAUGAAGUUAUAUGCAGACACCUACAAUGGCAGGACCUUAGACAAUCAAAUGACUGUAUAGCACAAUUACUACAACACCUAGAACCACAUAACUGCACCUAUGCAACAGCAACAUAUGAAGACAAUAUAAUACAGCAAAUAAAAGAUAACACCUGGAUUGUCGCCCUAAAACAGGAAGAAGUUAUAAAAACAACGUGUGGUAACGACAUUCAAUAUCAACGAAAUAAAGGAGUUUUCCUAAUAACAAUAGACAAUAACUGUAACGUACAAGUAAAGGAAAGAAUCCUAACAACACAUCAAAAAUACAUCAAUGUAAGGGAAACAAUUCCCCUACCCCGUGCACAUCAAGCCCCACAAACUAUGCCCACGAAAAUUAAGUUACAAAACAUAGAAUUAGAUAAUUUAAAGGAUGCCUUAAAACAAAUAGACAAUUUGGAAACAAAGGAAAUAGAAACGAAAAAUAUUCCAACCACCCCUAGCUGGCCAUUUAUAUGUCUAUAUAUAAUUUUAAUAAAAGCAGUCUCAGGAGGAGCUAUCCAUAAGUUCUACAGGAAGCCUAAUUCAGCGCUACCCUCAGUCCGGCAGCCAACAGAAGAUCCUGUUCAGCUGCCCUUGCAGCCUUCGGGACGCUUCAUUCUUAAGGAGGGAGGAGUUACAUCGCCAUAACAGUUAUUGUACACCAGGAGAUAACGUUAAACGAUAACCUAUUAGACUCGUCUUCCUUAAUAACAGGAAAACAUUAAGACAGUAUAAUGUCCCUUUGUAUUUAGUUAUAAGUGAAACCUUUGUAAUAGAUUGAGAUAAAUAUAAGAAACUAAAUAAAGUCUUCAGUCUGGUUCAGCUCCUCAGGCUGUGAACAUCUGCUUGUAUACUUUUUAAAAAGCCUAAUGCCGUCACCCACAGCCUAACUCGAGUGGAUAGAUAUUUCUGAAAAAAAAGCAUGAUUUUUGAAUGCCAUGACGAUGGUUAAUAUUUCACGUAUGACGGCGUGACUUUUAAAAUCCCUUAUAGAUUCUGGCGAUACUGCAUUGCAGCAAAAUUCAGAAUUUUCAAAAUCUAACGCCACGUACAUCAACAGGACUGUACAAAAUGAGUUGAUAGGUGUUCGAGCAGAAAUAAUUCAGGAAAACAUUUUACAGAAUGUGCGGGAAGUAAUUUUUUUUUUCAAUUUUCUUCGAUUAAUAUUGAAAAGCUAACUGGAAGAGAUAACAACACUACGUUGAGUUUUGCGACAAAAGCGUUUUUGCAACUUGAAGAUUUGUAGGAAUGCGUCGUUGGAGAUUGUAUUGUUGAAUAAAGAUAAAUUUAAAGCUUUAUAUAAUGUCUUUAUAAAAGUAUUUAAUAUAUAUUGUGUAUUUAAAGGUGUCCUUGUAAACGUUUUUUGUUUCUUUUGAAUUCUGCCGUGUGGCAUUAUUGUUUUGCCUUGUGUUAAAAUAUAUUGUUAGUCCAUUGAAAUGUUACAUUUUUUAGGCCUUACCUUGCGUUUU